GACGAACGCUGGCGGCGUGCUUAACACAUGCAAGUCGAACGGAAAGGCCCUUCGGGGUACUCGAGUGGCGAACGGGUGAGUAACACGUGGGUGAUCUGCCCUGCACUUUGGGAUAAGCCUGGGAAACUGGGUCUAAUACCGAAUAGGACCACGCGCUUCAUGGUGUGUGGUGGAAAGCUUUUGCGGUGUGGGAUGGGCCCGCGGCCUAUCAGCUUGUUGGUGGGGUAAUGGCCUACCAAGGCGACGACGGGUAGCCGGCCUGAGAGGGUGACCGGCCACACUGGGACUGAGAUACGGCCCAGACUCCUACGGGAGGCAGCAGUGGGGAAUAUUGCACAAUGGGCGCAAGCCUGAUGCAGCGACGCCGCGUGAGGGAUGACGGCCUUCGGGUUGUAAACCUCUUUCAAUAGGAACGAAGCGCAAGUGACGGUACCUAUAGAAGAAGCACCGGCCAACUACGUG
This 462-nucleotide ribosomal RNA is filed under the name uncultured bacterium. RNAcentral describes it as "partial 16S ribosomal RNA". It matches the Rfam family "Bacterial small subunit ribosomal RNA", at positions 28 to 507 of the family's 1533-position model. The record is from RNAcentral.